RNAcentral lists this ribosomal RNA (774 nucleotides) under uncultured Neocallimastigales. RNAcentral describes it as "partial large subunit ribosomal RNA". It matches the Rfam family "Eukaryotic large subunit ribosomal RNA", at positions 20 to 621 of the family's 3401-position model. The record is from RNAcentral. Lineage: Eukaryota; Fungi; Neocallimastigomycota; Neocallimastigomycetes; Neocallimastigales.
UACUAGAGUAGCACUCGCAUAUCAAUAAGCGGAGGAAAAGAAACUAACAAGGAUUCCCCUAGUAACGGCGAGUGAAGCGGGAAGAGCUCAAAUUUGAAAUCUUAAAGGGUUUCCCUUUACGAAUUGUAGUUUAAAGAAGUGUUUUCUGUUGAGGUUUUGGUAAAAGUUCUUUGGAAUAGGACAUCAUAGAGGGUGAGAAUCCCGUAUUUGACCUUUACUUUCAACUUUGUGAUACACUUUCAAAGAGUCGGAUUGUUUGGGAAUGCAGUCCAAAAUGGGUGGUAAAUUUCAUCUAAAGCUAAAUAUUGGCGAGAGACCGAUAGCGAACAAGUACCGUGAGGGAAAGAUGAAAAGAACUUUGAAAAGAGAGUUAAACAGUACGUGAAAUUGUCAAAAGGGAAGCGUUUGACACCAGUGUUGUUUUUCUGAAAAUCAAUUAAAGAACUGUUUAUGCUAAGCUGUUUAGACUUUAUCAGCUAUCUGCUUAGUUUUGAGCUUUUCUUUAAUGCACUUUUCAGUUAACAAGUCAACAUCAAUUUCUUUUGCUGUAAAAAAGCUUGAGGAAGGUGGCUUGAGAUUCGUCUUAAGUGUUUAUAGCCUCUUGCCUAUGCAGUCGGAGAGAUUGAGGUCUGCAGCGUAGAUCCUUCGGGGCUAAAUGCAUUUGUGCUAAGUUAUAGCAUUUUAUAGACAACUUGUUGACUAUGAUUUGUCUUGUAGCUUACUCGCUUAUGUUAUUUUACCUACGCUUAGGAUGUUGAACUCUAUCACACACAG